AUUGAACGCUGGCGGCAGGCUUAACACAUGCAAGUCGAGCGGGGUGAUGGUGCUUGCACUAUCACUUAGCGGCGGACGGGUGAGUAAUGCUUAGGAAUCUGCCUAUUAGUGGGGGACAACAUCUCGAAAGGGAUGCAAUACCGCAUACGUCCUACGGGAGAAAGCAGGGGAUCACUUGUGACCUUGCGCUAAUAGAUGAGCCUAGGUCGGAUUAGCUAGUUGGUGGGGUAAAGGCCUACCAAGGCGACGAUCUGUAGCGGGUCUGAGAGGAUGAUCCGCCACACUGGGACUGAGACACGGCCCAGAGUCCUAUGGGAGGCAGCAGUGGGGAAUAUUGGACAAUGGGGGGAACCCUGAUCCAGCCAUGCCGCGUGUGUGAAGAAGGCCUUAUGGUUGUAAAGCACUUUAAGCGAGGAGGAGGCUCUUUUGGUUAAUACCCAAGAUGAGUGGACGUUACUCGCAGAAUAAGCACCGGCUAACUCUGUGCCAGCCGCCGCAGUAA
RNAcentral lists this ribosomal RNA (502 nucleotides) under uncultured bacterium. RNAcentral describes it as "partial 16S ribosomal RNA". It matches the Rfam family "Bacterial small subunit ribosomal RNA", at positions 30 to 523 of the family's 1533-position model. The record is from RNAcentral.